RNAcentral lists this ribosomal RNA (488 nucleotides) under uncultured bacterium. RNAcentral describes it as "partial 16S ribosomal RNA". It matches the Rfam family "Bacterial small subunit ribosomal RNA", at positions 28 to 507 of the family's 1533-position model. The record is from RNAcentral.
GACGAACGCUGGCGGCGUGCUUAACACAUGCAAGUCGAACGGAAAGGCCGUGCUUGUGUGGGGUGUUAGAGUGGCGAACGGGUGAGUAACACGUGAGUAACCUGCCCUUGACUUUGGGAUGACUUCAGGAAACUGGGGCUAAUACCGGCUAGGAGCUCCUGCUGCAUGGUGGGGGUUGGAAAGUUUCGGCGGUUGGGGGUGGACUCGCGGAGUAUCAGCUAGUUGGUGGGGUAAUGGCCUAGCAGGGUGUGGACGGGUAGCCGGACUGAGAGGGCGAUCGGCCACACUAGAACUGAGCCACGGACCAGACUCCUACGAGACGCAGCAGUGGGGAAUAUUGGACAAUGGGCGAGAGCAUGAUCCAGCCAUAGCGCGUGUGUGAAGAAGGCCUCCGGGUUGUAAAGCCCUUUUGCUGGGAAUGAAGAGCAGUAGGUUAAGACGAAGCGGUAGUGACGGUACCAAAAGAAGAAGCACCGGCUAACUUCGUG